GUGAUAGAACAGGGCGGAAAGGCCAUGGAUUCAAGGCCUCACCUUGUCAUUCAGUUGGCUGGGUGGCCUUGGACAAGCCUUAGUUGCUGUUUGAGGAAAACAUGGGCGGAGAAAGUAGAUCCUCUGUGAAGAGAACUCCUGGCUCUAGCUCUGUAAAAUCUCCCAGCUCCAUUUCUUCUACUUCCCACAGUCUGGGUUAUUUCGCAGUUUCCCCAAAGCCGGAUUCUAUGUGACAAAGGGCCAGACCAUAGGCUUCCUGGAAGGCUCCAAAUGGGAGAAGGCCUGAGGAGAUCCCUGCCUCCCCUGGAAUCCUCCCCAGGAAGGAGCCACUAAAUGAGUUGAUAGAGAAAUGAGUUCGGAAGAAGCCUCCCGGUUUGGAAUAACAAGUGUUGGUGAGGACGUGGGAGAGUUGGAGCCCUCCUAACCGCUGUUGGGAACCCAGAAUGUUGCAGCCACUUUGGAAAAUGGUUCAGCAGUUCCUCAAAACAUUAAACACAGAAUUACCAUAUAACUUCGCAAUUCCUCUCCUGAGCAUAGAUGCAAGAAAAAUUUAAAAAUUAAGAAAAUUAAAAAAAAAAAAUACAUCCACAUAAAACCUGUGUACAGAUGUCAGAGCGUUAUUAUUACCCACAAGAGCCCCAAAGUGGAAGCAAUCCAAAUGUUUGCCAACAUGUGAACAAGCCCAAGGAAGACAACGAGGUAUAUCCAUACAAUGGACUAUCUUUCGGUCAUUCACGUAAAGAAAGGCCAACUGGAUACAUUCUGGCAGCAGGAAUGAACCCUGAAGCCUAAUGGUAAGUGAAAGAAGCCAACCAAAAAGACCACAGUUCAUAAGCUUCCAUUUAUACGAAGUGUUCAGAAUAGGCAAAUCUAUAGAGACAGAAAAUAGAUCAGUGGUCGCCCGGGGCUGGGGUGGUGAUGGUAACGGGGAGUGACCGCUAAUGGGUACUGAGUUUCUUUUUGGGUUGAUGAAAAUGUUCUAAAAUGAGAUGACAGCAAUGACUGCACAGCUCUGUAAAUACCCACCAAAGAAACUGUAGAAUUGUAAACUCAAUAUAGGUGAAUUCUAUGGUAUAAAAAUUAGAUCUCAAUAAGACUUUAUUUUUUUUAAAUUUUUUAUUUAUUUAUUUUUUAAGUAGGCUCCAUGCCCAACGUGGGGCUCGAACUCACAACCCAGCCAGAUGCCCCUUGAUAAAAUUUUUUUUCAUGUAUUCCAAUUUGGAGAAUAAAUUCUAUGAUCACCUCCUACCUAAGGAGGCCUCACCAUUCGCAAUUGAGAGCACAGGGACUUUUGAGUUAGACCACCUGACUCUAUCCCUCCCUUGCGUGACCUGGGGAAAAUGAUCUGAUUUUUCAUCUGCAAAACAGGGUAGUCAUGCCUCCCUCAGAGGCUUGUUGUAAUGUAAGAUAAUGCAUGACAAGUACGGGGAGCCCCCCCAACCCCAUGUGCAAAGUGUUCCACUUUUAGCAAAAGUCUACACAGGAUAGACGGAUGGAUGGAUGGAUGGGCGGAUGGAUGGGCCAAUGGGCGAAGCAGGCCUGAAGCAACUCAAGAUUCAGAGAGCAGAUCACACUCAUUCCAUGAAACAAGAUACUCUCUUAAAAAGGAACUCAAGGAGAA
Long non-coding RNA from Neogale vison (American mink), 1621 nucleotides. RefSeq lists it as uncharacterized. The record is from RefSeq and is a predicted model, not a curated record. Lineage: Eukaryota; Metazoa; Chordata; Mammalia; Carnivora; Mustelidae. The transcript has 2 exons.